GACGAACGCUGGCGGCGUGCUUAACACAUGCAAGUCGAACGGAAAGGCCCUGCUUUUGUGGGGUGCUCGAGUGGCGAACGGGUGAGUAACACGUGAGUAACCUGCCCUUGACUUUGGGAUAACUUCAGGAAACUGGGGCUAAUACCGGAUAGGAGCUCCUGCUGCAUGGUGGGGGUUGGAAAGUUUCGGCGGUUGGGGAUGGACUCGCGGCUUAUCAGCUUGUUGGUGGGGUAGUGGCUUACCAAGGCUUUGACGGGUAGCCGGCCUGAGAGGUGACCGGCCACAUUGGGACUGAGAUACGGCCCAGACUCCUACGGGAGGCAGCAGUGGGGAAUAUUGCACAAUGGGCGGAAGCCUGAUGCAGCAGCGCCGCGUGCGGGAUGACGGCCUUCGGGUUGUAAACCGCUUUCGCCUGUGACGAAGCGUGAGUGACGGUAAUGGGUAAAGAAGCACCAGCUAACUACGUG
RNAcentral lists this ribosomal RNA (467 nucleotides) under uncultured bacterium. Its description in RNAcentral is "partial 16S ribosomal RNA". It matches the Rfam family "Bacterial small subunit ribosomal RNA", at positions 28 to 507 of the family's 1533-position model. The record is from RNAcentral.